GCAGACGUUUAACCCACUCAGCCACCCAGGCGUCCCUCGGGUGUUGUAGCUCAGAGCGGUCAAGUCAUUCUCCCAGGGUCACACAGGCAAGGAGAAGGAGAAGCCGAGCUGAGAUGUGAGUCGAGGUGAGGUCCGGCGUCUGUGGUCCGUAACAACGGAUGGGGCGUACUGAGCAUUUACGAUGGGCUGGACACUGCUGGGAGCACAGCUUGCCUUGGAUUCCUUUGGUCCUCACCCAGGAAGGGUGCCCCCCAUUGGGCAGAUGCAGAGACUGAGUCACCCAGCGACAAGGAGUGGGACUGGACUUUGUGCCUGAAGAGCCUGGCCCCCAAACCUCUUUCUCUCAAGAGGCAUCAGGAAGCCAACAUCUCAGGACAGACCCUAAGCCUGCGACGCUGCCCCAUCUCAGAGUAAGGACUGGCUAUGUGGCCAAAAGGGCCCCAGGGCCCCAGGGCCAGGUUAAUAGCAGGAGCUGCUGUUCUCCUGCAGGAAAGCAGCUCCACCACCGGAGCUUGUGUUGGAUGAGGCCGACCUUGCUGCACAAGGACAUCCGAACCAGGGCCGGAGCUGCUUCUCAAAGGAGCGUUGCUCUGAAAAGCCCCUUCUGGAAACGCUUGUCCUGCAUGCCUCGUUCUCACGAGGGGCCAUCAGGCCUUGAAGAGCUGAAUCAGAAACUUCACUUAACACUGCAGAAAGCAGAGCCAUGUGGGUCUGUCCGGGUUCAACUUCCACAGCAUUUGUGCUCUGGCCGCGAAAUCCCAAGGCGGAAACCACUGGCCUCUCCGUGCAGGAAGAGGAAGUACAAGGGCUGGGAAGUCGGCAGAACUUGGACCGCAGCAGAAGUAAAUGGUGGUGACCAAGACCACGUGACCUACAAGACCUAAAGUAUGUAAUGUGUGGCCCGUUGCAGAAAAAGGUUGCUGAUCCUUGCACUAGACCUUGGGCUCUCUAAGGGCAAACUCUGCUUCUUGUCCAGCGAUGUAUAGCCGUCAGCAUCCAGUGCCAAGCCUGGAAAACAGAAGAGACUUAAUGAACAUUGACAAGUGGGCGGACAGUGUCCAUCUCCUCUGCGAGAACAUCCUUCCC
Long non-coding RNA from Mustela erminea (ermine), 1086 nucleotides. RefSeq lists it as uncharacterized. The record is from RefSeq and is a predicted model, not a curated record. Lineage: Eukaryota; Metazoa; Chordata; Mammalia; Carnivora; Mustelidae. The transcript has 3 exons.